UACGGAGGGUGCGAGCGUUGUCCGGAAUCAUUGGGCGUAAAGGGCGCGUAGGUGGCCCGGUGAGUCUUUGGUGAAAGCGCGGGGCUCAACCCUGCGUCGGCCAGGGAUACUGCCGCGGCUCGAGCACUGUAGAGGCAGGCGGAAUUCCGGGUGUAGCGGUGGAAUGCGUAGAGAUCCGGAAGAACACCGGUGGCGAAGGCGGCCUGCUGGGCUAUGGCUGACACUGAGGCGCGACAGCGUGGGGAGCAAACGGG
RNAcentral lists this ribosomal RNA (254 nucleotides) under uncultured bacterium. Its description in RNAcentral is "partial 16S ribosomal RNA". It matches the Rfam family "Bacterial small subunit ribosomal RNA", at positions 524 to 776 of the family's 1533-position model. The record is from RNAcentral.